This 450-nucleotide ribosomal RNA is filed under the name uncultured Salinicoccus sp. RNAcentral's name for it is "bacterial SSU rRNA". It matches the Rfam family "Bacterial small subunit ribosomal RNA", at positions 354 to 796 of the family's 1533-position model. RNAcentral also lists the same sequence under 1 other name. Lineage: Bacteria; Bacillati; Bacillota; Bacilli; Caryophanales; Staphylococcaceae. The record is from RNAcentral.
GUAGGGAAUCUUCCGCAAUGGACGAAAGUCUGACGGAGCAACGCCGCGUGAGUGAAGAAGGGUUUCGGCUCGUAAAACUCUGUUGUUAAGGAAGAAUGGCACAUGGCGUAACUACCAUGUGUGUGACGGUACUUAACCAGAAAGCCACGGCUAACUACGUGCCAGCAGCCGCGGUAAUACGUAGGUGGCAAGCGUUAUCCGGAAUUAUUGGGCGUAAAGCGCGCGUAGGCGGUUUCUUAAGUCUGAUGUGAAAGCCCCCGGCUCAACCGGGGAGGGUCAUUGGAAACUGGGGAACUUGAGUGCAGAAGAGGAGAGUGGAAUUCCAUGUGUAGCGGUGAAAUGCGCAGAGAUAUGGAGGAACACCAGUGGCGAAGGCGGCUCUCUGGUCUGUAACUGACGCUGAUGUGCGAAAGCGUGGGGAUCAAACAGGAUUAGAAACCCUAGUAGUCC